Molecule: ribosomal RNA, 1338 nt
Filed under: uncultured bacterium
Lineage: Bacteria
Description: bacterial SSU rRNA
Rfam family: Bacterial small subunit ribosomal RNA
Source: RNAcentral
GACGAACGCUGGCGGCGUGCUUAACACAUGCAAGUCGAACGGAAAGGCCCUUCGGGGUACUCGAGUGGCGAACGGGUGAGUAACACGUGGGUGAUCUGCCCUGCACUUUGGGAUAAGCCUGGGAAACUGGGUCUAAUACCGAAUAGGACCGCGCUCUUCAUGGGGUGUGGUGGAAAGCUUUUGCGGUGUGGGAUGGGCCCGCGGCCUAUCAGCUUGUUGGUGGGGUAAUGGCCUACCAAGGCGACGACGGGUAGCCGGCCUGAGAGGGUGACCGGCCACACUGGGACUGAGAUACGGCCCAGACUCCUACGGGAGGCAGCAGUGGGGAAUAUUGCACAAUGGGCGCAAGCCUGAUGCAGCGACGCCGCGUGAGGGAUGACGGCCUUCGGGUUGUAAACCUCUUUCAAUAGGGACGAAGCGCAAGUGACGGUACCUAUAGAAGAAGGGCCGGCCAACUACGUGCCAGCAGCCGCGGUAAUACGUAGGGUCCGAGCGUUGUCCGGAAUUACUGGGCGUAAAGAGCUCGUAGGUGGUUUGUCGCGUUGUUCGUGAAAACUCACAGCUUAACUGUGGGCGUGCGGGCGAUACGGGCAGACUAGAGUACUGCAGGGGAGACUGGAAUUCCUGGUGUAGCGGUGGAAUGCGCAGAUAUCAGGAGGAACACCGGUGGCGAAGGCGGGUCUCUGGGCAGUAACUGACGCUGAGGAGCGAAAGCGUGGGGAGCGAACAGGAUUAGAUACCCUGGUAGUCCACGCCGUAAACGGUGGGUACUAGGUGUGGGUUUCCUUCCUUGGGAUCCGUGCCGUAGCUAACGCAUUAAGUACCCCGCCUGGGGAGUACGGCCGCAAGGCUAAAACUCAAAGGAAUUGACGGGGGCCCGCACAAGCGGCGGAGCAUGUGGAUUAAUUCGAUGCAACGCGAAGAACCUUACCUGGGUUUGACAUGCACAGGACGCCAGUAGAGAUAUUGGUUCCCUUGUGGCCUGUGUGCAGGUGGUGCAUGGCUGUCGUCAGCUCGUGUCGUGAGAUGUUGGGUUAAGUCCCGCAACGAGCGCAACCCUUGUCUCAUGUUGCCAGCACGUUAUGGUGGGGACUCGUGAGAGACUGCCGGGGUCAACUCGGAGGAAGGUGGGGAUGACGUCAAGUCAUCAUGCCCCUUAUGUCCAGGGCUUCACACAUGCUACAAUGGCCGGUACAAAGGGCUGCGAUGCCGUGAGGUGGAGCGAAUCCUUUCAAAGCCGGUCUCAGUUCGGAUCGGGGUCUGCAACUCGACCUCGUGAAGUCGGAGUCGCUAGUAAUCGCAGAUCGGCAACGCUGCGGUGAAUACGUUCCCGGGCCU